This 402-nucleotide ribosomal RNA is filed under the name uncultured bacterium. RNAcentral's name for it is "bacterial SSU rRNA". It matches the Rfam family "Bacterial small subunit ribosomal RNA", at positions 358 to 775 of the family's 1533-position model. The record is from RNAcentral.
GGAAUAUUGCACAAUGGGCGAAAGCCUGAUGCAGCAACGCCGCGUGAAGGAAGAAGGCCUUCGGGUCGUAAACUUCUGUCCUUGGGGAAGAAGAACUGACGGUACCCAAGGAGGAAGCACCGGCUAAAUACGUGCCAGCAGCCGCGGUAAUACGUAUGGUGCAAGCGUUAUCCGGAUUUACUGGGUGUAAAGGGAGCGCAGGCGGCACGGCAAGCCUGAUGUGAAAGCCCGCGGCCCAACCGCGGGACUGCAUUGGGAACUACCGGGCUGGAGUGCCGGAGAGGUAGGCGGAAUUCCUAGUGUAGCGGUGAAAUGCGUAGAUAUUAGGAGGAACACCAGUGGCGAAGGCGGCCUACUGGACGGUGACUGACGCUGAGGCUCGAAAGCGUGGGGAGCAAACAG